UACGUAGGGGGCAAGCGUUGUCCGGAAUCAUUGGGCGUAAAGCGCGUGUAGGCGGCCCGGUAAGUCCGCUGUGAAAGUCGGGGGCUCAACCCUCGGAUGCCGAUCGAUACUGUCGGGCUAGAGUCCGGAAGAGGCGAGUGGAAUUCCUGGUGUAGCGGUGAAAUGCGCAGAUAUCAGGAGGAACACCAAUGGCGAAGGCAGCUCGCUGGGACGGUACUGACGCUGAGGCGCGAAAGCGUGGGGAGCAAACAGG
RNAcentral lists this ribosomal RNA (253 nucleotides) under uncultured bacterium. RNAcentral describes it as "partial 16S ribosomal RNA". It matches the Rfam family "Bacterial small subunit ribosomal RNA", at positions 524 to 776 of the family's 1533-position model. The record is from RNAcentral.